AUGUCCAACUUUGCGCUUGGGUUGACGAAGACGGCAGUGGAGGGGACAUUGAGCAGGGUCCAGUUAGCGAUCGAUGAAGAGAACAAGCUGAGGGAGACGGCAAAGCAAGACCUGCGGUAUAUCACAGCUGAAUUUCAGAUGAUGCAAUCCUUUCUAAAGGUUGCUAACAAGGAGCGUGCUAGUAAUGAAGUGGUGAAGCAGCUCCGGGACCUUGCUUUUGAUGUCGAAGACUGCGUUGAGUUUGUUGUUCAUCUGGACAACAACGAGUCGUCCUUGACCUGGUUGUGGCGCCUGCUGCCGUCCUGCAUGGCACCGUCUCAGACUCGGGACCUGGACAAGGCAGUCACUGAGUUAAAGGUGCUCAAGGCAAGGGUCGAGGAUGCAAGCCAGAGGAACACACGCUACAACUUCAUCAGUGAUGCCGGCUCCCAAGCCGAUACCACCACGCCGACCGAGCAGGCCUCUCUGUCCACCAUCAACCCAUCCGCAUUCCACAUGCUAACUGAGGUCUGGGAGGCUGCUGGGAAGCGACGCGGCAUGAGCAACCUACAGGACUUGAUCAUGGGUGAAGGCAGUGACCUUCAAAUGAUCUCCAUAUGGGGAAGUACGGCAGCUGAUUUUGGGACAGCGUCCAUUUUCAGCAUGUUGUAUGGCGACCCAGAAAUCUGCCGAGCAUUCAGAAGACGUGCAUGGGUAAAGUUGAUGCAUCCUUUCAAACCUGACGAGUUCCUCAAGAGUUUGCUGACUCAGUUCUACGUGAGAUCUCACCAAGAAAACAUAGAUGUAGAUCAUCUCACGAAGGCUGAGCUCAUGCAACAAGUGAAGGUGCACAAGUAUCUCAUCAUUCUAGAAGAAGUAUCCGGUGUGGCGGACUGGGAUGCCAUCCGAGAGUACCUGUCGGACAAUGAGAAUGGCAGCCGAAUCAUCGUGUCCACAAAGCAAUUAAGGAAUGCACUCUUGUGCACAGGGGGCGGGGAGUACCAAGUUUCAGAGCUCAGGAGAUUCUCUGAUGAUCAAUCUCUUUGUGCCUUCUCCAAGAAGGCAGGGCGUCACAGUGGUAUGCACGAUCUUAUUUGGCAAAUAAGGUGUCGUGGUGUGAUUUCACUAUGGGGGAUUAGCUAUGCCAAAUCAUCACUCAUCAAUAAAAUUUACACCAGCAUAGUGUAUAAGAGUAAACAAUUCGAUGGAGUUGAAUUUCAACGACACAGCUGGGUGGACGUGCCCGCUCCUUUCAAUUUUGGGGUCUUCUCUCGGCGCUUACUUGUAAGUUUCCGCUCAGAAGAUCUUCAAGCCGAAGAAAUUGCAAGGGUUGGUAUGAUGGGAGCCAGGCCUAACUCAAGAGUGUUGCAAGUUUCUGCAUGA
This 1362-nucleotide ribosomal RNA is filed under the name Triticum aestivum (bread wheat). Its description in RNAcentral is "partial small subunit ribosomal RNA". Lineage: Eukaryota; Viridiplantae; Streptophyta; Magnoliopsida; Poales; Poaceae. The record is from RNAcentral.